GGGCCCAUAGCUCAGCAGGAUAGAGCGACGGCCUCCUAAGCCGUAGGUCGCCAGUUCGACUCUGGCUGGGCCCGCCA
This 77-nucleotide transfer RNA is filed under the name Thermanaerovibrio acidaminovorans DSM 6589. Its description in RNAcentral is "tRNA-Arg (CCT) (tRNA-Arg-CCT-1-1)". It matches the Rfam family "tRNA". From Rfam's summary of the family: Transfer RNA (tRNA) molecules are approximately 80 nucleotides in length. Their secondary structure includes four short double-helical elements and three loops (D, anti-codon, and T loops). Lineage: Bacteria; Thermotogati; Synergistota; Synergistia; Synergistales; Synergistaceae. RNAcentral also lists the same sequence under 2 other names. The record is from RNAcentral.